RNAcentral lists this ribosomal RNA (274 nucleotides) under uncultured bacterium. RNAcentral describes it as "partial 16S ribosomal RNA". It matches the Rfam family "Bacterial small subunit ribosomal RNA", at positions 523 to 796 of the family's 1533-position model. The record is from RNAcentral.
AUACGUAGGGUGCGAGCGUUAAUCGGAAUUACUGGGCGUAAAGCGUGCGCAGGCGGUUUUGUAAGUCAGAUGUGAAAUCCCCGGGCUUAACCUGGGAACUGCGUUUGAAACUGCAAGGCUAGAGUGUGGCAGAGGGGGGUGGAAUUCCGCGUGUAGCAGUGAAAUGCGUAGAGAUGUGGAGGAACACCGAUGGCGAAGGCAGCCCCCUGGGUUAACACUGACGCUCAGGCACGAAAGCAUGGGGAGCAAACAGGAUUAGAAACCCCGGUAGUCC